RNAcentral lists this ribosomal RNA (253 nucleotides) under uncultured bacterium. RNAcentral describes it as "partial 16S ribosomal RNA". It matches the Rfam family "Bacterial small subunit ribosomal RNA", at positions 524 to 776 of the family's 1533-position model. The record is from RNAcentral.
UACAGAGGUGGCAAGCGUUGUUCGGAAUUACUGGGCGUAAAGGGCGCGUAGGCGGCCUUGUAAGUCCUGUGUGAAAUCCCCCGGCUCAACUGGGGAACUGCACAGGAGACUGCUUGGCUUGAGUUCGGGAGAGGGAAGCGGAAUUCCGGGUGUAGCGGUGAAAUGCGUAGAUAUCCGGAGGAACACCGGUGGCGAAGGCGGCUUCCUGGACCGACACUGACGCUGAGGCGCGAAGGCGUGGGGAGCGAAUGGG